AGGGUAUAGCUCAAGUGGUAGAGCACAUGCUUAGCAUGCACAAGGUCCUGGGUUCAAUCCCCAGUACCUCUU
This 72-nucleotide transfer RNA is filed under the name Camelus bactrianus (Bactrian camel). It matches the Rfam family "tRNA". Rfam says of the family: Transfer RNA (tRNA) molecules are approximately 80 nucleotides in length. RNAcentral also lists the same sequence under 2 other names. The record is from Rfam by way of RNAcentral. Lineage: Eukaryota; Metazoa; Chordata; Mammalia; Artiodactyla; Camelidae.